GAUGAACGCUGGCGGCGUGCCUAAUACAUGCAAGUCGAGCGAACGGACGAGAAGCUUGCUUUUCUGAUGUUAGCGGCGGACGGGUGAGUAACACGUGGAUAACCUACCUAUAAGACUGGGAUAACUUCGGGAAACCGGAGCUAAUACCGGAUAAUAUUUUGAACCGCAUGGUUCAAAAGUGAAAGACGGUCUUGCUGUCACUUAUAGAUGGAUCCGCGCUGCAUUAGCUAGUUGGUAAGGUAACGGCUUACCAAGGCAACGAUGCAUAGCCGACCUGAGAGGGUGAUCGGCCACACUGGAACUGAGACACGGUUCAGACUCCUACGGGAGGCAGCAGUAGGGAAUCUUCCGCAAUGGGCGAAAGCCUGACGGAGCAACGCCGCGUGAGUGAUGAAGGUCUUCGGAUCGUAAAACUCUGUUAUUAGGGAAGAACAUAUGUGUAAGUAACUGUGCACAUCUUGACGGUACCUAAUCAGAAAGCCACGGCUAACUACGUG
This 497-nucleotide ribosomal RNA is filed under the name uncultured bacterium. RNAcentral's name for it is "partial 16S ribosomal RNA". It matches the Rfam family "Bacterial small subunit ribosomal RNA", at positions 28 to 507 of the family's 1533-position model. The record is from RNAcentral.